GAUGAACGCUAGCGACAGGCUUAACACAUGCAAGUCGAGGGGCAACAGGGAGUGUGCUUGCACACUCUGCUGGCGACCGGCGCACGGGUGAGUAACACGUAUGCAACCUGCCCUUUACAGAGGGAUAAUCGGAAGAAAUUUCGUCUAAUACCUCAUAACACCUUUUUUCCGCAUGGGAUUAAGGUCAAAGAAUUUCGGUUAAAGGAUGGGCAUGCGGAGCAUUAGGUAGUAGGCGGGGUAACGGCCCACCUAGCCGACGAUGCAUAGGGGUUCGUGAGAGGAAGGUCCCCCACACUGGAACUGAGACACGGUCCAGACUCCUACGGGAGGCAGCAGUGAGGAAUAUUGG
Molecule: ribosomal RNA, 349 nt
Filed under: uncultured bacterium
Lineage: Bacteria
Description: bacterial SSU rRNA
Rfam family: Bacterial small subunit ribosomal RNA
Source: RNAcentral